This 76-nucleotide transfer RNA is filed under the name Povalibacter uvarum. RNAcentral's name for it is "tRNA-Lys". It matches the Rfam family "tRNA". From Rfam's summary of the family: Transfer RNA (tRNA) molecules are approximately 80 nucleotides in length. Their secondary structure includes four short double-helical elements and three loops (D, anti-codon, and T loops). Further hydrogen bonds mediate the characteristic L-shaped molecular structure. tRNAs have two regions of fundamental functional importance: the anti-codon, which is responsible for specific mRNA codon recognition, and the 3' end, to which the tRNAs corresponding amino acid is attached (by aminoacyl-tRNA synthetases). tRNAs cope with the degeneracy of the genetic code in two manners: having more than one tRNA (with a specific anti-codon) for a particular amino acid; and 'wobble' base-pairing, i.e. permitting non-standard base-pairing at the 3rd anti-codon position. Lineage: Bacteria; Pseudomonadati; Pseudomonadota; Gammaproteobacteria; Steroidobacterales; Steroidobacteraceae. The record is from RNAcentral.
GGAUCGUUAGCUCAACUGGCGGAGCAUCCGGCUCUUAACCGGCAGGUUGAAGGUUCGACUCCUUCACGGUCCACCA